CAUUAUAUAAGAGAGAGUUGAGGCGCUAAGCAGCCUCCUCGCCGUCAACAUGCCUGCUUCAGCAAUGGGAUUUUGUUCAUUUCUUAUCAUCUAAGCUGUGUCAAUUUUUGCGUACACACAAUGAUUGCACGUGUAUAUCCAGAGAUUUCAUCAUCGCUCUCUUGGUUGUGCCAAUUUCAUCCAUCGGCAUAGAUAUCACUAUUCACAGAUUUAGCUGUCUAGCUUCUGUUGUUGAGAGUUGGGUACCUCAUAAUUGUCACUCUUGGCUUUCACUGUGGGAUUUAUAGGUGUUGUUGAAUAAAACUUUUGAGUUUGGAACUAAGGUUAGUUGUUAAAAGGGGAAUCUUUAGCAGUUCAAUUGGUUGGCUAGUUAUUUGAGCUUUCACCUUGUUACUGAUGGCUGUCCAAAACUCACGAAGCUGAAUAUCAGCGGGUGACGAAACCUAAGAGCCUUAAACUUUUGUGGGUGUAUUAAAGCUGCAAUUGAUAAGGCAUUGAAGGCUAUUGGUUAUUACUGUCACCGAAUGCACACUGCAUGUAAAUCUAGGUUGGUGUGAUAAAGUUGGUGAUGAAGGGGUAAUGCGUUUGGCCUAUGGGUGUCCUGAUCUCAGAGCCCUUGAUCUGUGUGGUUGUCUCCUUAUAACAGUCUUUGGUAAAGAAAUUCCCAACGUCGAAGCUUCCGACUCGACAGUCUCUGUGAAUUCUCCUCGGGGAUUUGAAAGAAUUGUGAUUGGAGGAUGUUGAUGAUGGUGAUUCAAAUUUGAAUUUUGAUUUAGAGGAUUUGAGAGAAUUGUGAUGGAAAGAUGUUAAUAAUGGUGAUUCAAAAUUUGAAUUAUGAAUUUAUUGCUAAUUUUCAGGAAUUCAAGAAACAUAUUUCAAUCAAAAUCCCAUUAAUUUCUCUGUCAUUUAAUCUCUUCCCAUUACUUUCCUUUUUUAUAGGCAAUUAAUUUGCUAGUUAUGUAUCUGAAAUGUAUCUGGAUGGGAUUUGGUGUAAUUAUGAAAAAAGUUGGAAGUGAGUGUAAUUAGGUAGCAAACUAUUAGAAUUUAUGUUAUUUUCCCUAAAAAUUUUAUUGUGGGAGUUUAUCCAUGUAAAAGACAGUUUCAACUAAAAUAUCAAAAUAAGAAGACAUAGAUGAAAACCGUAAGACAUGCUUAAGAUUUGAAAGACUGGAGUUUAACUGAAAAAUGCCCCAAAAAGAUGCUUAAAUAGAGAAUGCAUGCAGCUACUCUAAUUUUUUUUUUUAAAAAAUAAAUAAAUUUGAAUCUUUAUUUUUAUCUAAAGAAUCACAUGUUUAUCUUAACUCAAAUUCUAAAAAUAAACAUUAAAUUAAAUAGUAUAACUACAAAUGUUAAACAUAACCAUUUGAAUUUUAAAAUUAAACUAUUUUUCACUUUAAUGGCCUACUAGUUUUUAUAUAACAAAAAAGAAGUAAAAAAAUAUGCUUUAAUUUUUCUUACGUAAAGAAUUGUUUUAACUUGCCCAUGUGGCAGUAUUUUUUUUCUUUUAAAAAAAAAUAAAUUUGAAACUUUGCCUUUAUGUAAAGAAUCACAUGUUUAUCUUAAUUCAAACUAAAAAUUGAACGUUAAAUUAGAUUAAAUAAUAUAAAUGUAAGGAAUCACAUGUUUCUUUUAACUCAAAUUUAAAAAAUAAGCAUUAAAUUAAAUUAAGUAGUAUCAAUGUCAAUUUUAUAUAUAACCAUUUGAAUUUUAAAAUUAAGUUUAUUUUUAAGUUUAAUGAUCUACUAUUUGUUUAUAUAAAAAAAAGAUGUAAAGGGACAUGAUUUAAUUUUUCUUACAUAAAAAAAGUGUUUUAACUUGCCCAUGUGGCAUUUUUUUUUUUAAAAGUUGAAUCUUUAUCUUUAUCUAAAGAAUCACAUGUUACAUGAUUGAAUCAUCAUGGUGUUUUGGGAUACAUGAUUGUUGAUGGAUAUUCAUGAAGUUGGAAGUGAACAAGGGGCUAAAGAGUUAUACGUGUAUGAUAUUCAGGGGGUGCAUUAACGUAGAUAGGAGAGAAGGCGCAACAUACAGGAUCGUGAAGAAGGAACAAGCCAUUAAUCUGUAGGUACUAUGUAGUUUUGAUGAUUGACAAACUGACACAUGAAUGAAAUAUGUUACUUGAGAUGGUCCACGCAUAGGAAAGCAGAUUUCCAGUUUCACUGAUAGAUGCAGACAAGAUUGCUUAAAGACAGGAAUGAAUAAGCAAGCCUAAUUCUGAUAUACACAAGGUACUGAUCAUGUGGGGAAUAUAACAAGUUGUAUUUGAUUCAAACACUUAAUGAUAAGGGAAAGUAAGUUGAGUUGAAAAAAGAGUUCUACGUGAAGAAAGAGUUUCACUUCUGAGUAUAUCCUGAAGAGUCCUAUGUGUAAGAGGAGAAAGAUUCUGAUAAACAAACAUGCUCUAAUUUAAAGAGUUGGAGUUUUACUACAACACUAAAGAGACAAAAGUUGGAAUGAAGAAGGAGUCUCACUUGAAGUAGAACUCUAUGCAAUGAGAGUUCUGAUUAAAGGAGGAGUUUAAAAUAAAGAAUAACUCUUUGAAGAGCUGUGCUUAAAUAGAAGAUGCAUCAGUCAGAAUAAAUUACGCACUUACAAAGUAGAAAAACACAAUCGACAGCUCGACUUCACAAAGUGCUACUCAAUCACUGAAGAAACACAUUGAAGAACCUGGUCCUAAGUAUAGAAUCUAGCUAAGAGUUUUACAGUUGAUUAUUAGAGUUGUUCAUUGUGUUUGAACUAUUGAUGUAAUAUUAGUUUCAGUGAGUUAUAAACUGAACUAGGAGCUAGUUUUCGAGUUGGGGAAAACUCAAAAACUUUGGGAACGCAUACCUUGGGAGGUGUGUGUAUAGUUAGGAAGUAGAGUUUAUAAUUCCUAGUUGUUGUGUUAAAGUAAUUAAAGUUUAUAAUUCUCAUUUGUUGGUUGUAAGAGUUUUGUAAUCAGUCGUUAUUGAGGCUCAGAGUUAUUUAGUGAAGUUGGGGUAAAAUCCUGUAGAGGUGUAGGUCGUAAUUUUUUACACCUUUUGAGUCGGGUGUUUUCCAUGUAAAAGUCGUUAUUUUCUUUACUUUUUGGUUUGCUGCUUCCCUGGAACACGUCAGGCAACUCAUUCCAUCGAUAGACAAUAGUUAGGUAAAAAUAAGAUAAUUAGUAGGGCACGAAUUCUUAAUAAGUGGUAUCAUAACGGGUUAUCUUGUUAAGGCUCACACCUUAAGAUAAGAUCAAAGAUGAAUUCUGCUCCACCUAUUGGCUACUGCGAAGGACAAGACAUCAAUAGGCCUCCAUUUUUCAAUGGACAGUACUACUCAGGAUGAAAAAAAAGGAUGAAAGAUUUUCUUCAGGAUGUUGACUACGAACUCUGUAGUAGAAUUAUUGAUGGACCUCAAUACCCCAUGAAGAAGGAUGCUGAAAACAUGGAUCUAUUAAAAGACAAGAGUAAGCAUGAUAAUGCCGACUUUAAGAUGCUUGGAAAGAAUGUAAAAGCUAAGUAUAUUCUUAUUCACAGACUUAGACCAGAUGAAUAUAACAGGAUCUCAGGUUGCACCACUGCAAAACAAAUUUGGGAGACUCUUGUGAACGUAUAUGAGAAGAACAUGGAUACCUUAGAGAAAAAUAAAGGAACUAAGGAUAAGUCAAUAGCACUAAAAGAGUCUGACAGCAUAGAAUCAGAUAUAGAUAAUAGAAAGCUUACCAAGAAUUUCAAAAGGUAUUUUAAGAAAUGAAAACACCAGAACAAGAGAGGAACGAGUAGUAGGUGUUAUUCUAACUAUAAGUCUCAAACUGGUUAUUUCAAGUAUGAAGAUACAGAUCAUAUGAUCAGGGAUUUUCCAUUGUAGGAAAUUGAGCGAAAAAAUAUAAGAGCUGAAAAAGAGUUGAAGCUAAAAGAGAAAUCUUUACUUCGAAAAGAAGGAAUCAUUUGCUAUGAUGGCUGCAUGGGGAUCAAGCUCAGAAGAAUCUAAUGAUGAUAGAGUUGAUGAAAGUGCACUUAUGGCUAUAGGUGACUCAGACAUGGAAGAAAAGGAAAUAAAAUCUAAGGUAAGUCUACUUGAUCUUAAAGAUAAAUUACAUCUUUGUUCUAAGAAAAGACUUAUUCCCUUAAUGAAUGCACUGAUUGAUGAUUUUCACGAGCUCACAUCUGAAAGGGAUCAGUUAUUCAAUGUUUUUGCAGGUCUAAAGUUUGAUUACAUUAAUCUUGAGACUUGUAAGAAUGUCACUGAUAUAGAAAACUUCACCCUAAAGGAACAGGUCAGUCAACUUGGUUCAUCAAACCUAGAUCUAAAAUCAAAAAUAUUAAAGUUGUCAAUUACUGAAAAAAGAAAAAAGGAGCCUUGAGUGAAAAUCAUCAAAGAAUUGAGUCUGAACUUAAACAAAGAAAAGAUGAAUUGUUUUAUCAAAUAAAAAAGGUUAGAAAGCAAACUCGAGAAAAUUCUAGGAUAAAACUUGAUCUUGAAAGAGCUAACCGAUAGACCAAGUCAUCUAGAAUUGUUAAUCAUCUAUGUAGUAGGACUCAAAAUGAGAGGGUUGCAUAGGUUUUCACAAAGAAACUAUUUCCUAUAAAGAUUUAUGUUAUAUUUGUGGAAAACUAGGACAGCCAACCACUGAAUGUCCUUUUGCUGCCAAAAGCAGAUCCAGCAGUCUAAAUCUAAAAAAUAAACUAUCUCAGACCAAGAAAAGGAUAACUAAACCUGGUCAGACAAAUAGGUCACGUAACUUGUUGCCUGCAUAGGCUAGAAGAAAUCUGAUUCAAUUAUUUACUCAUAAAAAAGGCCCCAAGCUUUUCUGGGUGCCUAAAGUUAACCCCUAAUUUGUUUUGCAGGUGAGAGUAAAAGGAGGCAAGAAAAAUUUGUACAUGAAUAAAGCUUGCUCAAGGCAUAAGACUAGAAGAAAAUAAAUUUCUUUCACUUACCACAUUUAAAAGGUGAAUGGAUCAUUUGAAAGAUGGCCAGAUUUGUAGUGCUCGUGUAAGGGGGAAGUAAGGGAGAUCUAAAAAAAAAUAAUGAUCUAGUGCUUGAACUUGGUUCGUAUGAAUCUUUGUGGACUAAUGUAAGAAGCAGAGAAGUUAAGAGAAUGACAGUGAAACUGCUGAGCAUGCACAAAAACAUGUUGUACUACUUAUUCUAUAACUGAGGGCAUAUCGACAGAGGGAACAACAAAUCAAUGACUUGGGACUAUGGUAUCCAAAGGAAACUAAUUUCACUCUUAAGGGCUAUAAAAAUGUUGACUAUGUGGGUUACUUAAUUGACUGGAGAAGCACCAAAGGCACUACGUAGAGAGAAUUUU
Capsicum annuum is the source of this 5272-nucleotide long non-coding RNA. RefSeq lists it as uncharacterized. The record is from RefSeq and is a predicted model, not a curated record. NCBI's taxonomy places the organism in Eukaryota, Viridiplantae, Streptophyta, Magnoliopsida, Solanales, Solanaceae. The transcript has 7 exons.